Molecule: unclassified non-coding RNA, 699 nt
Filed under: uncultured Prochlorococcus sp.
Lineage: Bacteria; Bacillati; Cyanobacteriota; Cyanophyceae; Synechococcales; Prochlorococcaceae
Description: partial may contain 16S ribosomal RNA, 16S-23S ribosomal RNA intergenic spacer, and 23S ribosomal RNA
Rfam family: Bacterial small subunit ribosomal RNA (bases 1-99)
Source: RNAcentral
UAACCCUUGUGGAGGAGGACGCCGAAGGUGGGGCUAAUGACUGGGGUGAAGUCGUAACAAGGUAGCCGUACCGGAAGGUGCGGCUGGAUCACCUCCUAACAGGGAGACAACAAAAUGUUAAAUAUUAAUUUUGUCACCUUAGGUCGAUCGGUAUCUCACAUUCUUAAUUUAUUGAGAAUUUUAUUUCCUAAGUUUUUUCUAGGUCACACCCAUUACUUUUCCUGGGCCAUUAGCUCAGGUGGUUAGAGCGCACCCCUGAUAAGGGUGAGGUCCCUGGUUCAAGUCCAGGAUGGCCCAUAUCUCUAUGUUGGGGGUAUAGCUCAGUUGGUAGAGCGCCUGCUUUGCAAGCAGGAUGUCAGCGGUUCGAGUCCGCUUACCUCCACUGAUUACCACCUCUUCCAUAAUGUAUAAAAGGGAAAUGUUUUGAUUUGUGAUCAAAUUCUGAACGAAUCUAGCUUCCUAAUGAAAUAACCUUAAAUAGAUCAUUAAGAUGCUGGACUCAUUGAAUUAAUUUCAUUGUUUUCAGAGAACCUUGACAACUGCAUAGAUUAUUUUUAAAGACAAUAAGCAUCUUUAAUGAUGCAGAUUUAUUAUUUGUGCGAAUGCAUUAAUAACAAUUCUAUUAAGCUGAUGCUUCAAUUUUGAAGUUAUUGGUCAAGCUACAAAGGGCUCACGGAGGAUACCUAGGCACACAGAGGC